Molecule: long non-coding RNA, 1233 nt
Organism: Zalophus californianus (California sea lion)
Lineage: Eukaryota; Metazoa; Chordata; Mammalia; Carnivora; Otariidae
Exons: 3
Source: RefSeq, a predicted model, not a curated record
GGAAAGGAGGGAAAGCAAGCUUGUCAGUAUCCACUGCUAAUCGACUCUAUUGAGUAUCGUCAUUCCAAGUGAAUUUUGAUGUUCUAUCUCCUGCGUCUGAAGCUCUCCUGAUACUCCUUCAGUAUUCACUGUAGUGUUGAUACCAACUAGUCUCUCAAAGAAUAUUGCCAUCUUGAAGGAAUGAUUUCACUUACUUUUCAACUUCUGGAAAUACAGGGAGAUGGCAGGGAAUAGAGAAACGGGCAAAACUUUGGAACAGUAUAGACCAGACCUGGAUUUGGAUCUCAGCUCUAACUCUGUGCCUUUGGGUAAGUCAUGUAACUCUUCUUUGUCCUAUUUCUCUUUCUGUAUAGUGAAUGGCUAAUGUUGGGGUUAAAAUAAUGAUAUAAGUAAAAACAUAAGUAGAAAUCUUUCACAGAUUUAUGAAUCCCUUCAAUAUUUACUCCAGCCCACUGAGUGAGUCAUUGUAAUGUUAUGAGACCACAGUCGCAGUAGGUGUGUUCAGUAACUCCUGCCUCUUAUUAUUGGUCCUCCAGUCCAUAUUUAGCAGCAUCUGCUGGUUUCCCUCCACUCCUGGAGGCAGAGGUUCAAAUGACGAAUGUGCUAGAAGGCAAGUGUCCUUAGAAGAAGAGGAUCACCAUGUGACAGAACUCUCCGUCUCCUUCUCUCUCUGCUCCUGCACAGAGGAGAGGUCAUGUGAGGACACAGUGAGAAGGCAGCCGUCUGCAAGCUAAGGAGAGAGGCCUCAUAAGAACUGAAUUUUCCAGCACCUUGAGUUGGAAUUCUACCCUGUAGAACAUAAAGAUUUUAGCCCAACGAUCAAAUGCAUCAACAUGAUCCCACGUGAUUGCCUCCUGCAUGAGAACAGAAAGUCGUUGCGAAAUCUGGAGAGGGAUUAUGGCAGAAAUGAGAAACAUUUCUGUAGGACUGAGCACGGGUCUGGGGACCUAGAAAGCACUGGCUAUGCAUUUAAUCAAGAACCUCCUACCCACACAUCCCCACCACAUCCUAAUUAUAUUCAUACUUGAUAUUUUACCAACUCUCCAUGCAACAGCUACCUAGGGCAUCUACUCCCUGGUUAGGCAAAAACAAACAAAACCCCAAAACAACAGCAACAACAAAAAAAGGAAACAAACACUUCUUUUGAGUAUGCUUUCUUAUUCAAAUUAGUUUCCUAAAUAAGAAUGUGUGAAUCUGCAAUGUAGGCCAGCGCAUUGAAUAAAAAUGAUUAUG